ACCAGACUCCUACGGGAGGCAGCAGUGGGGAAUCUUCCGCAAUGGGCGAAAGCCUGACGGAGCAACGCCGCGUGAUCGAAUGAAGGCCUUCGGGUUGUAAAGAUCUGUUGACAGGGACGAAUAAGCAAUGCGAAUAGUUUUGUGUAUGACGGUACCUGUUUAGAAAGCUCCGGCUAACUACGUGCCAGCAGCCGCGGUAAUACGUAGGGAGCAAGCGUUGUCCGGAAUUACUGGGCGUAAAGGGCGCGUAGGUGGGCGCUUAAGUCAGCGGUAAAAUGGCGGGGCUCAACCUCGUCGAGCCGUUGAAACUGGGUGCCUUGAGUGGGCGAGAAGUACGCGGAAUGCGUGGUGUAGCGGUGAAAUGCAUAGAUAUCACGCAGAACUCCGAUUGCGAAGGCAGCGUACCGGCGCCCAACUGACGCUGAAGCACGAAGGCGUGGGUAUCGAACAGGAUUAGAUACCCUGGUAGUA
RNAcentral lists this ribosomal RNA (471 nucleotides) under uncultured bacterium. Its description in RNAcentral is "bacterial SSU rRNA". It matches the Rfam family "Bacterial small subunit ribosomal RNA", at positions 330 to 795 of the family's 1533-position model. The record is from RNAcentral.